GGACCAGUAUGUCGGUCGUGCUUCGGUACGUACUUGCAUUAUUGGUUUCUCCCUUCUGACGAACCAUGAUGUCAUUAAUUUGAUGUCAUGGGAAAUCAGGACUGUUACUUUGAAAAAUUAGAGUGUUUAAAGCAGGCUCGCGCUUGAAUACAUUAGCAUGGAAUAAUGAAAUAGGACGUUUGAUUCUAUUUUGUUGGUUUCUAGGAUCGACGUAAUGAUU
This 220-nucleotide ribosomal RNA is filed under the name uncultured fungus. RNAcentral's name for it is "partial 18S ribosomal RNA". The stretch from base 38 to 220 matches the Rfam family "Eukaryotic small subunit ribosomal RNA", at positions 685 to 870 of the family's 1831-position model. The record is from RNAcentral. Lineage: Eukaryota; Fungi.